Long non-coding RNA from Diachasma alloeum, 1273 nucleotides. RefSeq lists it as uncharacterized. NCBI's taxonomy places the organism in Eukaryota, Metazoa, Arthropoda, Insecta, Hymenoptera, Braconidae. The record is from RefSeq and is a predicted model, not a curated record. The transcript has 2 exons.
GAUAAUCAUACGCUCCUGAACCCUGUCGCCUGACAACUCUCAUUGCUGUGAGAGGUUUUCUAAGAGUCACGUGACCGAGUCUUCCCCUUCUAUUCUUUUACCAUUGUCAUUGGUUAUGUCCAUCACGUGGACCUGGAUAUCACCCUUAUCAGAAGGAAGUCUCCAAGUUCUUCGAUAAGGAGCAGAUAGAGCGCCUGAAGUUUACGAGUGCAGCCUCCAAGUUCCACCUGAUCACUGAAGAGUACCUGCACAAGCUCUACACCAUCAAACUGAUUGAAAUGCGAAAGCCGCUGCAUAUAUUCACGAUCAUCCUGGACACAACCUGCCUGUAGACCUCCGAGAGCCUCUACUCGAGCAUCUGCGGAGAGCCCCGAUGCCUCUCCAUCUCCAAGGGCCACGAGCACAAGAAGAUAAUCUCAAAGAGAAAAUCCGAAAGAGCCAAUUUGCUGUCCACCUCGUGAUUCUCGGCAUGAGAAAACACUCUGAGCUCGUCGACGACACGAGCAUCGUUUAGACCUGGCAGAGCGAAGUUCGAAUGGGAAUGCAGGAUACCCUGGGGCACAAGUGCCUGAGGGAGAGUUCCCCAGAGGACGGACCACUGCUUCUCUCCUGGAUGCUAGGGAACUACGCAAUCGAGCCUGAAAUCUCAGAGACUUUGAGCUAAUUCCGACCUUUCGGAGUUGGUGCAGUCCACCUGGACGUCUUCAGGUACCUCCAGGGUCUCAUUAUCAAACCCAUCAUCUCAAAUUAGAGGCCAAUGAUUUACCUGAGUUUGAUGAGGUGCGAGCCUGAGGACAACACGUGCUCCAACAGCUCCGAUCCAGACAGACUGGAGAUUGAGGAUCGGGAUGACAAUGAUGAUGAUGCUGAUGAGAAUGGAUAUGACAUGGGAGUCUAUUCUCGAGUUGAAAUCGUGUGUUCGAUUUCGGCAGAUCGCAUGCGACCCAUGAGGCGUACUAUGGUCGCAUACGACUUGUCAAAUUCGAUCGUACGAUUUCAAUUCGAGAAUAGGCUCCAUGACUGUCAAGCCGAAGAGAGCCGAGGAUAAUUACGAUGAUUGCAAGAGAGAGAGUAACUUAAUCGCAGUCCAGUCAAUCGAAUGGACACACCUGAGAGCAACUGCUUCGUUGAUUGGAAAGCUGUUCAAGUCGGUGCUGAAAUCACUCGACUCUGCUCAGUAUGGAUGAUUCAGGUCAAUUGUAUUCGCAUUGUUCUAUUCACUCGUUUGUCGUUAGAAUUUUAAAUUGAUAAAAAUAAAGCAAUUUUCAGCAGA